GUAACAAAGCUAACAGGAGGCUCAACAAGACGCCACCUAACUAGUGUAAACACACCUGCAGAGUCCUAAGAAGGUCUAAUCAGACAGGUGGACUGAGAACACCUGUGAGGCUUUCAGCUUCUAUCAUAGCGUGCCUUGAGUUUCCCUUUUCUCUGCGUUCACAUGAAACCGCUGACAGACAGACGAGUGUUCGUGUGUUCUACCUGUCGGAAACCAACACCAACCUUCCUGUUUUCACUCACCAACGCCUUUGUCUCCGUACCAGAGAACCUGCUCAAAACCAAACAACAGGCCUCGCUGUGGAGAGGAGGAAAUGAACAUUUGAGCAAAUACCUCCCGAGGAGGAAGUGACAAGAUGUGUCGGUGGAUUAAAACAGAGAAGCUGAACAGAGGCGGCCUUGUUGGAAAGAAGUCUGAAGGAACCACAAAUUAGAUGAGAUAUUAAACCUGAACACAUGUCUGGACGGAGAAAACAAACGUCCUCUUACACACAAACACACUGACGGGAUGCAAAUAAGCUGUUUCCACGGCAACGGUCGUGUAAACACUCACUGACACGUGUUGAGAUGCUGCAGCCAGCAGAGACGGAGGAUAAACAUAUUAAAUAUCUGUCUCAUGGGGGGGGGACCAAAUACACAAAAUCAGCUUUAUGUGGGAAGUUAAACAAGACAGGGACGACAAAACGACCUGAAAUAAUCUAAUGGUCCACUUGUUCUGUCUUUGUAUGUGCAAUGAAGCACAGAAUGAAACGAGAAUUUUUGACCGUCCCAUUUUUGUUGUCAUCUUUGUUUUUGUCCGUCCCAUCUUGGUUUGUGGCUGUCACGAUUUUGUUUUUUGAAACCAGAAGUGACACGAGAGUGUGGAGUAAAGUCCAACCGAACGCUGAAUAAGGCCGCUUUCACAAGUCAACAUUUAGUCCAUUUGAAUCCAACUCCGGUGCGGUUCGUUUGGGCGGUUGUGAACGCAGUAAUCUUACUGUGGUUUGCACCAAAACAACUGGUCCGAGACGGCUUGCGAGAGGCGUUCUCGGACUGUUAAAUUCAACAUGUAUAAUGAGUUACAGGCGCUGCUGAACUUGUUGUUGAUGCUCAGUUAAAUUCUGCAUUUUAUAAUCCUACUGCUGCCUACAUGUGCAGGAGACAAGCUAUUAUUCAAAAGCUCUGCAUUAAUUCACGUGUCCAUGCUUCCUGUUUACACCGGCACGUGCAUGCCCAGUGUACAUGCGUUUUCAGUUUUCAAUUCUGAAACGGCCCUAAACGCUCGUCUGGACGGAGAUCAUUUACAUUUUAAAACAGAAAGACGUUAGUGUUGAUGUCUCCAACAACAGGGGCCAGUUUGACUUGUAACUGUAGGAGAAGCACAGGUGUAAAUAAUAAAAUGAAUGAUGGCUGAAUUCAGUUUAAUGAGAUUCCUGUGUAGUGCACGCUGUCUGUCUCUCACUGGGACACAGCAGAGCCCUCGUUAGUGUCAUCAGGAACACCUGAGCUCGUCCUACUACAACAAGUCAACAUGUCUGCAGUGUUAAAGGCCUGUUGACAGACUGUUUGUAUUCUAGACUGACUAUUUCUACAUAUUCCAGAUCUCUGAAUAUAUUUAGUUUCAUUACCAGGAAAUAGUAAAUACAUAUCUCCCCCCAGCCGUCCUCACAGGACAGCAGUAAUAAAUAAGUCUUUAUGUUGAGCUGUAGCUGUGAUGAGUCCUCCGUCCGGUCCGUCCUGUUGGUGUAACUGUGAAUGUUGGAAUGCAGCAGUGAGACUCGUCACUGUUUGAUGUCAGCGUCGACUGAAAACAUCAGAGAUCUCUAGACGAGAUUUAAAAUGCCGACAGUGAUGGAAAACGUGACGGAGAGAGGUGAACUGUUCCACAGCUGCACGGCAAAAAUGGAAAAUGUUCCAUCAUCCUUGGAUCUGAACUCGGACGGUGAGAAGGAGAGUCUGAGGGAAGAUCACCUGUUGACUCCUGAUGAAGACCUGACAGCAGCUCGGUGCGUCUCCUCUCUCAACCAAUCAGGGUGAGACGACAUCCUUCCUUUAGGGCUGAAGAGAGGAGGUGACUGAUCACCUUCUGGUCCUUCCUCCACUUGAUGCUGAGCAAAGAGACUUCUAGCUGGAGUGAAUAUUAAAGUCACCUUUCCACUGGAUUACCUGCAUCAGGACACACCUUAGUGUUGCAGGCCCUUUUCCCAGCAGCCAUGUUGACAUGUUACAGCAGGGUAAACACAGGUGGACCAUGAUAUUGUAUUUAGUGAGUCACAGCCAGCGUGCAUUAUACUAUUCUAUACAGCACACCCUGGAACACCUCAACGGAUCAGGAACAUAAGUAAUGUGAUUAAUUACACCUGCGUUCCUGCAAGAGUUGGUGCGCCUGCAUUCUUUAUUGGUUUACUUUCAUUGAACCCUCGUUCAAAGAGACUUUUAUAAAGAGGUUUUUAUUAUCAUUCAAGAGGCUUUUAACUCAUGCAUGUGGCUGCUAACAGCUGGUUGAGUCUAUCUACUUUGACAGUUACACUAUGAUAUACCGUAUGUCUUAAAACAUUCUUAAACAAGGCACCAUAAGAUAAGUCUUUAUACCUUAGUUCAUUAAAAUCAUACAGAGAAACAUGACCGCCAGAAAUAAAGUAAAAAUAUGAUGAUUUCAUUUAACUUUUUUUUUAUCAAAACAAACUCAAAUUUAUAUCUAAUAUAAUUAAAUCUAAUAAUGACAC
Long non-coding RNA from Sebastes umbrosus (honeycomb rockfish), 2704 nucleotides. RefSeq lists it as uncharacterized. The record is from RefSeq and is a predicted model, not a curated record. Lineage: Eukaryota; Metazoa; Chordata; Actinopteri; Perciformes; Sebastidae. The transcript has 3 exons.